This is an RNA transcript of Acanthopagrus latus (yellowfin seabream), 2571 nucleotides long. It is a transcript of the gene named CWC27 spliceosome associated cyclophilin, with no coding region annotated. NCBI's taxonomy places the organism in Eukaryota, Metazoa, Chordata, Actinopteri, Spariformes, Sparidae. The transcript has 15 exons. The record is from RefSeq and is a predicted model, not a curated record.
AAGUAAACACGCUCACAUGUAUUGCCAAGAUGGCUGCAGAUACCGAAGUACGAUUUUGUCAGUUGUAAAGCAAAAACAAUUAAACACACGUUAUCUACUGAUUAAUGUUUUUAAUUCCCAGACGGUUUAAAACACAAAUUUUUGUUUCUGCAACGAACGAAACGGCAGAAUGAGUAACAUUUACAUUCAGGAGCCGCCAACAAAUGGAAAGGUGCUGUUGAAGACCUCAGCAGGUGACAUUGACAUUGAGUUGUGGUCCAAGGAGGCUCCAAAAGCAUGCAGGAACUUUGUGCAGCUGUGCAUGGAAGGUUACUAUGACGGCACCAUAUUUCACCGAGUGGUGCGUGAGUUCAUUGUUCAGGGAGGAGAUCCCACCGGGACGGGAACAGGUGGAGAAUCCGUCUACGGCCGGCCAUUCAAGGAUGAGUUUCACUCCAGACUGCGCUUCAAUCGGAGAGGUUUGGUUGCCAUGGCAAACGCCGGGCCGCACGAUAACGGCAGUCAGUUCUUCUUCACUUUGGGACGAGCAGAUGAACUCAACAAUAAACACACCAUAUUCGGGAAGGUGACAGGUGACACAGUUUACAACAUGCUCAGAUUGGCAGAAGUUGAAUGUGACGAUGAUGAAAGACCUUUGAAUGCCCACAAGAUCAGAACAACUGAGGUGCUUCAUUCUCCUUUCGAUGACAUCAUACCGCGUGAACUCAAGAAAGCCAAAAAGGAAAAAGAUAAAGAGGAGGGAAAGAAGUCCCAGUCGAAGGCCACGAAGAACUUCAGUCUGUUGUCGUUUGGAGAGGAAGCUGAGGAGGAAGAGGAGAUGAUGAAUCAAGUCAGCCAGACAUUUAAGGGAAAAAGCAAAAGCAGCCACGACCUUCUGAAAGAUGAUCCCAGACUGAGCUCCGUCCCCGCAGUUGAUAAGAAAAAGAAGAAGGGGGCAUCAGGAGAAACAGCUGAGUCGGACGAUGAGGUUGAGGGUGAUGUCGACAACGACGACGCGGAUACAGACGAAGAGCCCGACCCAGAGAAGAGAGAGAAGAUGAGAGAGCUCAUCAGUAAGAAGUUGCAGAAAGACAAAGGAGCAGAGAAAACGACGGAUCUCGACGAAGACGAGCGAGGAAAGAAGUCGAGCCGCAGUGAUGAAUUGCGGAAAGAGGCGCGGCAGCUGAAGAAGGAACUACAGGCCAUAAAGCAAAGGAAAGAAGAGAGUUUAAAACCUGCUGUGGAUGAAGUCAAGGAGGAGGAUAAAAAGCCGUCCAACGAGGCCGUGGCUGAAUAUCUGGAGGGACGGAAGAAGUACGAAGAGCUCCGGAAACAAAAACUGAAGAAGGGCUCGACCAGAGAAGCUCAGACUCUGGCCCUCCUCAGUCAAUUCAAGUCCAAGUUGUCUUCAGCCAUCACCGAGGCCCCGGAGGAGGACGUGGAGGAGCUGGAGGAGGACGACGACAAAGGAUGAGAGGGAACACUGAGACAGAUUGAAGUUCGGUGCCGUUGAAGCGCUCGCUCACUGACACCGUUCACGGUAGCGAACAUCAGCAGCAGCAGUGAGCAGCAUGUGAGCGCACCAGAGUCCAGAGUGUUCCUGGAGAGUUCAAGAAGCAGUUUGGCAAACGCUGUGUUUUGUGGACGGUGAAGUUGAAGCAUGACAAGUUGGCACGAAAAGGCUUUUUUCAUUAGCCUCCGCUGUGUUGUUCCUAUUGAUACCCUGGUGGUGAACACUGGACGGUAAGAGAAACCAUUUAUUGUAAAAGUAGGAGGCAGAAAAUCAUUCUUUGUUCCCCGAAUGAUUAAACUGACCGUUGUCAGAUCCAAAGCUCGCUUCAGGUUCUGAUGAAUGUGUGUCAAAGUUCAAGUCGCAUGCAUGCAUGUGUGUGUGUGUGUGUGUGUGUGUGUGUGUGUGUGUGUCUCUGUGUGUGUUUGUGUGUCAAGUUUUCGGAUUUCAACCCGCAGCCACCAGAUUGGCCAUCAGGAAAUCAGCCCUGACGCUGUGUUUUCCUCUCAUAUUCUGUUUUUCACCAAAGAUCUCAAAGCCUAACUACACAGAGGAGGUUUGAAAUGAAUACCAUGUGUUUGAAUGUGAGCAGAAAGUGUCUGUGUGUGAGAGAUUUAGAAUAACAAAAUCUGUAGUUGCUAUUAGUCUCGAGAAGCCCCCUUGAAGUGCAGUCCGUGUGUGUGUUGUGUGUCGGUCUGUGUGUGUUUGUGUGUGUGUUCUCAGUGACUCUGAGAGAGGCCUUGGCGGGCUGUUGGAGCCUCUCCCGGCCUGUAGACACCUCACUGUGCCGCCCCCGCCAGGUAUGGCGAGGAGGGAGGGACAGCGGCGGUAGCAUAGCAGUCCUAGAAAAACACCAGUGGGAAGUCUGUGCCACUCUGGGAGCGCUGCGAACAGAAUGUGGGUUACAACAGGUCAGACAUUGGAAGUCAAGUCUGGGCCAGAGGAGGAUGGCCCACGUUCUGCAGUUUGAUGAGCAAAGCAGAAAAGUCAAGGAUGCCAACAUGCACGACGAGGACACCUUCGAGAUCUACGACCCGCGCAACCCCGUCAACAAGCGGAGGAGAGAAGAGAGCAAGAAGCUC